GGAGGUUUAAUCUUUAUAGGUUUGAGAAGUGAAAAUAUUAUCGAUGAAAUAUUUCUAAAUGAAUAAUAUGACACACUUUUCUGACAAGUCCUGACAUAUUGGAGGAUAACAAAUCACAGUUUUCCUCUGGACAGCUCCAGAAAGAAACUGAGGGAAUUCUGUUCAGCUUCUUCAGAGGGGUUCAAACUCCAGUUUGACCUAAAUUUCUCAGUGGCUGCUUCCAGAUUGUGAAACAAUCUUCUUCUUCACAUUAGAGAUGCCUGAACUUUUAGUCAUAAUAAGUCUACAUGUAUAUCAAACUCACUUCUUUGAAAUGUUUGGAACCCUUGUGCCAUCCUAGGCAUGUUUACAUUAAAAGUGAGUCAUCUGGACCCCACAAGACAGCGUGCUGAACUUUGUUUUUUUCAAGGAUUUUUUAUCUUCACUGGUGUCUGUGGCAGACACAAAAUCCAGUCGAUGGGAGGGAUCACAUAUCAAUAUUUCCCUUAAAAAAUGAAAUUUACUUUUUUUAAUGUAAGUUUUUCUUACGGUUUUGCUCUGAUUGCUUAGCUUUUUCACUGUGGUUUUAUUAUUAUUUUUGCAACAUUGAUGCUUUCUCUUUUUGUCUUAUUCUUGUCCAGCAGUGGUCCCCAACCUCUGGGCCAUAGACUGGUACCAGUCCGUGGGACAGUUGGUAUUGGGUCACAAAGACCAGUUUAGAACGUCUGUAUCAGCAGGCGUGCUGCAAGGGGAUUACUGGGGAGACAUUGGCUAUGUUGCGGUUUCUCCUCACCCUGGUCUCACUGGAAGUCAGACCGACCCAUGUUCACAUCCGGGUGUGGUUAAUGCCUUAAAUUAAUUUUAUUUUGAACCAACUCACAUGCAGAAAUAGUAAUAGUAUUGAUUGCAUUUUAGAUUAAAGCAAUAAAAUGGAAAAAAAAGCAAUGAUUUAACACCCCUAGUUUUUGUAUGUAACAACACGUUUAUAUUUAAAAUGUUAUCACACAUCUUUGGACAUUUCCAGAUGUACCAGCAUCCUUGUUUGUGGAAGAGUUUCCAUUUCAAUGGUGAGUUUUAAGAGUUUUUAUGUGUUGGGGUGAAUGGAGAAACUAUCUAAGACAGGGUUCUCCAACCAUCGGGCCCCAGACCGGUAUUGGUCCGUAGAUCAAUUGGCACUGGGCCGCACAAGAAAUAAUUAAUCAUAUCAGGGUUUUGUCUUUUGAGUUUCAACAAAAUUUUAAUUUGAAAAAUAUUAUAUUUUGAAAAAUAUUGUCUCAGCUCCACCUUGGAUCAUUUGACCUGUAAAGUUUAGUGAAGGGAGAAAAAUGACUGACUGAAUGAUCUUUUAUUUUGAAUUAUUUUUGGGUUUUGACAGGAUUCUCUGGGUUACAUUUUCUGCUAUAUUUAGUCUGCCACCAUGCAACAUGAGAAAAGUCGUAUGAUUAACGUUUCUUCGCAAAUGGAUAUGGGAUAAGUGGAGGAAGAAAUGAGUGGAUGAAAGAACGUGAUAUGACUUAAAAAAAAAAAAAA
Long non-coding RNA from Oryzias melastigma (Indian medaka), 1509 nucleotides. RefSeq lists it as uncharacterized. Lineage: Eukaryota; Metazoa; Chordata; Actinopteri; Beloniformes; Adrianichthyidae. The transcript has 2 exons. The record is from RefSeq and is a predicted model, not a curated record.